RNAcentral lists this ribosomal RNA (505 nucleotides) under uncultured bacterium. RNAcentral describes it as "partial 16S ribosomal RNA". It matches the Rfam family "Bacterial small subunit ribosomal RNA", at positions 28 to 507 of the family's 1533-position model. The record is from RNAcentral.
GACGAACGCUGGCGGCGUGCCUAAUACAUGCAAGUAGAACGCACAGUUUAUACCGUAGCUUGCUACACCAUAAACUGUGAGUUGCGAACGGGUGAGUAACGCGUAGGUAACCUGCCUGGUAGCGGGGGAUAACUAUUGGAAACGAUAGCUAAUACCGCAUAAUAUUGAUUAUUGCAUGAUAAUUGAUUGAAAGAUGCUAUUGCAUCACUACCAGAUGGACCUGCGUUGUAUUAGCUAGUAGGUGAGGUAACGGCUCACCUAGGCGACGAUACAUAGCCGACCUGAGAGGGUGAUCGGCCGCACUGGGACUGAGACACGGCCCAGACUCCUACGGGAGGCAGCAGUAGGGAAUCUUCGGCAAUGGACGAAAGUCUGACCGAGCAACGCCGCGUGAGUGAAGAAGGUUUUCGGAUCGUAAAGCUCUGUUGUAAGAGAAGAACGGGUGUGAGAGUGGAAAGUUCACACUGUGACGGUAUCUUACCAGAAAGGGACGGCUAACUACGUG